RNAcentral lists this ribosomal RNA (549 nucleotides) under uncultured bacterium. RNAcentral's name for it is "bacterial SSU rRNA". It matches the Rfam family "Bacterial small subunit ribosomal RNA", at positions 355 to 896 of the family's 1533-position model. The record is from RNAcentral.
UGGGGAAUAUUGGACAAUGGGCGGAAGCCUGAUCCAGCCAUGCCGCGUGUGUGAAGAAGGCCUUUUGGUUGUAAAGCACUUUAAGUGGGGAGGAAAAGCUUAUGGUUAAUACCCAUAAGCCCUGACGUUACCCACAGAAUAAGCACCGGCUAACUCUGUGCCAGCAGCCGCGGUAAUACAGAGGGUGCAAGCGUUAAUCGGAAUUACUGGGCGUAAAGCGCGCGUAGGUGGUUAUUUAAGUCAGAUGUGAAAGCCCCGGGCUUAACCUGGGAACUGCAUCUGAUACUGGAUAACUAGAGUAGGUGAGAGGGGAGUAGAAUUCCAGGUGUAGCGGUGAAAUGCGUAGAGAUCUGGAGGAAUACCGAUGGCGAAGGCAGCUCCCUGGCAUCAUACUGACACUGAGGUGCGAAAGCGUGGGUAGCAAACAGGAUUAGAUACCCUGGUAGUCCACGCCGUAAACGAUGUCUACCAGUCGUUGGGUCUUUUAAAGACUUAGUGACGCAGUUAACGCAAUAAGUAGACCGCCUGGGGAGUACGGCCGCAAGGUUA